AUAAAUUAUAACGUGAUUAAACUAUAUAAUAUUUCUUACAUGCAAUGCAAAGGGUUGAAAAUAUUGUAACCAAAAAAAAAAGGGUUGAAAAUAUGGCUGAAGUUAUUAAAUUUGUUAAUGUUAUGCUUAUCUUUAUUUCCCUAUUUCCUUUUGCAAUGAACGUUGACGCGAAUAUUAUUAGUUGUACUCAAGAUUUUGAUUGUCAAACAAAGAUAUGCCCAUUUCAUCUUAAACCGAAGUGUAUUGUGUUGGAAAUUCUUCCCCAUUCCUUAUCUGGCGGUAUAUGUGGGUGUGAUUGAGAUGUUCCCUUAAGAUUAUUUUAGAAAAUUCCACAAGUUGUCAUCUAGUUAUAGCGUUUUUUUAAGAAAAUUUUGUUAUUAUAUUUGCACCCAUAAGUUUAAAUUUUUACUUUAUCUAUUUUCACAAUCCUUGUAGUUGUGGAUUUUGUAAUCUAGUCUAAAAUGAUUGUAAAAAAAUUAAAUAAGACAACAAAUAAUAUUAUUUAGAUUUUCUUCUA
Molecule: long non-coding RNA, 517 nt
Organism: Medicago truncatula (barrel medic)
Lineage: Eukaryota; Viridiplantae; Streptophyta; Magnoliopsida; Fabales; Fabaceae
Exons: 2
Source: RefSeq, a predicted model, not a curated record